RNAcentral lists this long non-coding RNA (1597 nucleotides) under Salmo salar (Atlantic salmon). RNAcentral describes it as "lncRNA (ENSSSAG00000093425.1)". Lineage: Eukaryota; Metazoa; Chordata; Actinopteri; Salmoniformes; Salmonidae. The record is from RNAcentral.
AAACAACAUUUGAGAGUGCGCUGACCCUGGUGCUAGAGGGGGUACGCAGCUGGAGGUAGAACAUUUGAAGGGGUACGGGACUAUAAAAACUUUGUCAACCACUGUCUUAGAAAAACAAAUAGGCUAUACUCUGCUUGAAGGCUACUUGACAAAAACACCUUGGGCCAACUGUUGGCAUGAGGGGCCAACUGUUGGCAUGAGGGGCCAACUGUUGGCAUGCGGGGCCAACUGUUGGCAUGCGGGGCCAACUGUUGGCAUGAGGGGCCUAGUUUCCAGGUAUGGUGACACCACUGCUACAGUAGCUCUGAUGAGACAUGUUAAGGAGGCAGUGGGCUGUCAUUACCACUGAUGACAGAGGUAAUGACACCCAGCCCUAUACCCCAGUCCAGGCCCUAUACCCAAGCAUAUAGCCCAGACCAUAGUCCCCAGCCCAGGCCCUACAGCCCAGGCCCUACAGCCCAGGCCCUAUAGCCCAGGCCCUAUAGCCCAGGCCCUAUAGCCCAGGCCCUAUAGCCCAGGCCCUAUAGCCCAGGCCCUAUAGCCCAGGCCCUAUAGCCCAGGCCCAGACUGUUUAAAUCAUCCAAAGCCAAACAAUAUUUUUGAUAAUGGGCCUUCCACCUAUCAGCCCAGACCACACAGCAGCAUCCCAGGACCAACCAGGGAGAGCAACAUGGCAGGCUGCUCUCCUCUCCUGAAUAUCAACAGCAUCACCAUCAAUAGCGGCUGUAUCGGGUUACCAGGCAUCACAGGGCUGGCUUUACAUGAAAGACUACACGCAGAUCAGAAGCCAGGGAUUAACGCUGUGUGUGUGGUGGGGGAGUGUGUGUGUGUGGGGGAGUGUGUGUGUGUGUGAGUGUGUGGGGGGGGGGAGAGUAUGUUCACUAUUGACCAAAACAGGUGCAGAAGACAAGGAAACAACCAGUAGUCUGAACAGGAAAUCCAACCAUGUCUGUUCAUCCGCUCCAGUUAGACCUGACCCUCUGUUCAUCCGCUACAGUUGGACCUGACCUCUGUUCAUCCGCUCCAGUUGGACCUGACCUCUGUUCAUCCGCUACAGUUAGACCUGACCUCUGUUCAUCCGCUACAGUUAGACCUGACCUCUGUUCAUCCGCUACAGUUGGACCUGACCCUCUGUUCAUCCGCUACAGUUGGACCUGACCUCUGUUCAUCCGCUACAGUUGGACCUGACCUCUGUUCAUCCGCUCCAGUUAGACCUGACCUCUGUUCAUCCGCUACAGUUAGACCUGACCUCUGUUCAUCCGCUACAGUUGGACCUGACUCUCUGUUCAUCCGCUACAGUUGGACCUGACUCUCUGUUCAUCCGCUACAGUUGGACCUGACUCUCUGUUCAUCCGCUACAGUUGGACCUGACCUCUGUUCAUCCGCUACAGUUGGACCUGACCUCUGUUCAUCCGCUACAGUUGGACCUGACCUCUGUUCAUCCGCUACAGUUGGACCUGACCUCUGUUCAUCCGCUACAGUUAGACCUGACCCUCUGUUCAUCCGCUACAGUUAGACCUGACCUCUGUUCAUCCGCUACAGUUAGACCUGACCUCUGUUCAUCCGCUACAGUUAGACCUGACCUCUGUUCAUCCGC